RNAcentral lists this unclassified non-coding RNA (440 nucleotides) under uncultured Thelephoraceae. RNAcentral describes it as "sequence contains ITS2". The stretch from base 1 to 155 matches the Rfam family "5.8S ribosomal RNA". The record is from RNAcentral. Lineage: Eukaryota; Fungi; Basidiomycota; Agaricomycetes; Thelephorales; Thelephoraceae.
AACUUGCAACAAUGUAUCACGUGGCUCUCGCAUCGAUUAAGAACGCAGCGAAAUGCGAUAAGUAAUGCGAAUUGCAGAAUUCAGCGAAUCAUCGAAUCUUUGAACGCACCUUGCGCCCCUCGGUUAUUCCUUGGGGCAUGCCUGUUUGAGUAUCAUGAACACCUCAUCUCUCAUGGCUUGCCAUGAUGAGCUUGGACUUUGGGGGUUUUGUUGGCCUCUGUGGUCAGCUCCUCUUAAAUGAAUCAGCUUGCUAGUGUUUGGCGGCAUUGUGGGUGUGAUAACUAUCUACGCCCAUGGUUGUUUGCCAGGUAACCUUCAGCAGUGGAGGUUCGCUGGGGCUUAUAAAUGUCUCUCCUCAGCAUGAGACAGCAUUUUGAACGUUCGAUCUCAGAUCAGGUAGGACUACCCGCUGAACUUAAGCAUAUCAAUAAGCGGAGGCU